This 259-nucleotide ribosomal RNA is filed under the name uncultured bacterium. RNAcentral's name for it is "partial 16S ribosomal RNA". It matches the Rfam family "Bacterial small subunit ribosomal RNA", at positions 1133 to 1380 of the family's 1533-position model. The record is from RNAcentral.
GGGGACUCAUAGGAGACUGCCGGGGUCAACUCGGAGGAAGGUGGGGAUGACGUCAAAUCAAUCAUGCCCCUUAUGUCUUGGGCUUCACGCAUGCUACAAUGGCCGGUACAGAGGGUUGCGAUACUGUGAGGUGGAGCUAAUCCCUAAAACGCCGGUCUCAGUUCGGAUUGGGGUCUGCAACUCGACCCCAUGAAGUCGGAGUCGCUAGUAAUCGCAGGUCAGCAUACUGCGGUGAAUCCGUUCCCGGGUCGACGCGGCC